This 468-nucleotide ribosomal RNA is filed under the name uncultured bacterium. RNAcentral describes it as "partial 16S ribosomal RNA". It matches the Rfam family "Bacterial small subunit ribosomal RNA", at positions 28 to 507 of the family's 1533-position model. The record is from RNAcentral.
GACGAACGCUGGCGGCGUGCUUAACACAUGCAAGUCGAACGGAAAGGCCCUGCUUUUGUGGGGUGCUCGAGUGGCGAACGGGUGAGUAACACGUGAGUAACCUGUCCUUGACUUUGGGAUAACUUCAGGAAACUGCGGCUAAUACCGGAUAGGAGCUACUGCAGCAUGGUGGGGGUUGGAAAGUUUCGGCGGUUGGGGAUGGACUCGCGGCUUAUCAGCUUGUUGGUGGGGUAGUGGAUUACCAAGGCUUUGACGGGUAGCCGGCCUGAGAGGGUGACCGGCCACAUUGGGACUGCGGUACGGCCCAGACUCCUACGGGAGGCAGCAGGGGGAAAUAUUGCACAAUGGGCGGAAGCCUGAUGCAGCAACGCCGCGUGCGUGAUGACGUCCUUCUGGUUGUAAACCGCUGUCGCCUGUGACGAGGCGUUAGUGACGGUAAUGGGUAAGGAAGCCCCGGCUAACUACGUG